CAGCAGCCGCGGUAAAACGUAGGGCGCAAGCGUUGUCCGGAAUUAUUGGGCGUAAAGAGCUCGUAGGCGGUCUGUCGCGUCUGGUGUGAAAUCCCGAGGCUCAACCUCGGGCUUGCAUCGGGUACGGGCAGACUAGAGUGCGGUAGGGGAGACUGGAAUUCCUGGUGUAGCGGUGGAAUGCGCAGAUAUCAGGAGGAACACCGAUGGCGAAGGCAGGUCUCUGGGCCGCAACUGACGCUGAGGAGCGAAAGCAUGGGGAGCGAACAGGAUUAGAUACCCGUGUAGUCCCUGUCUCUUAUAC
RNAcentral lists this ribosomal RNA (301 nucleotides) under uncultured bacterium. Its description in RNAcentral is "partial 16S ribosomal RNA". It matches the Rfam family "Bacterial small subunit ribosomal RNA", at positions 509 to 807 of the family's 1533-position model. The record is from RNAcentral.